Molecule: unclassified non-coding RNA, 265 nt
Filed under: Chrysosporium sp.
Lineage: Eukaryota; Fungi; Ascomycota; Eurotiomycetes; Onygenales; Onygenaceae
Also listed under: 1 other name
Description: partial contains 5.8S ribosomal RNA, internal transcribed spacer 2, and large subunit ribosomal RNA
Source: RNAcentral
AACGCACAUUGCGCCCUCUGGUAUUCCGGGGGGCAUGCCUGUCCGAGCGUCAUUGCAACCCUCAAGCACGGCUUGUGUUAUGGGCUUCCCGUCCCGCUAUCUCAGUGGACGAGCCCGAAAUGCAGUGAUCGCCGCCGCGAUACCGGCGCCCGAGCGAAUGGGAAUUUACACCAAAGCUCAGUGGGCCCGGCCGGCAGUUUCGGUCCUACAACCAUUUUUUUCUAAGGUUGACCUCGGAUCAGGUAGGGAUACCCGCUGAACUUAA